This 492-nucleotide ribosomal RNA is filed under the name uncultured bacterium. RNAcentral describes it as "partial 16S ribosomal RNA". It matches the Rfam family "Bacterial small subunit ribosomal RNA", at positions 29 to 507 of the family's 1533-position model. The record is from RNAcentral.
AGUGAACGCUGGCGGUAGGCCUAACACAUGCAAGUCGAACGGCAGCACAGUACUAGCUUGCUCUUACGGGUGGCGAGUGGCGGGCGGGUGCGAAGUACAUCGGAGUCUACUUUUUCGUGGGGGAUGACGUGGGGAAACUUACGCUAAUACCGCAUAGGACGUACGGGGGGAAGCAGGGGAUCUUCCGACCUUGCACGAUUGAAUGAGCCGAUGUCGGAUUAGCUAGUUGGCGGGGUAAAGGCCCACCAAGGCGACGAUCCGUAGCUGGUCUGAGAGGAUGAUCAGCCACACUGGAACUGAGACACGGUCCAGACUCCUACGGGAGGCAGCAGUGGGGAAUAUUGGACAAUGGGCGCAAGCCUGAUCCAGCCAUACCGCGUGGGUGAAGAAGGCCUUCGGGUUGUAAAGCCCUUUUGUUGGGAAAGAAAAGCAGUAGGUUAAUACCUCGCUGUUCUGACGGUACCAAAAGAAUAAGCACCGGCUAACUUCGUG